AUUGAACGCUGGCGGCAGGCCUAACACAUGCAAGUCGAACGGUAACAGGGAUCAGCUUGCUGAUUCGCUGACGAGUGGCGGACGGGUGAGGAAUGUCUGGGAAACUGCCUGAUGGAGGGGGAUAACUACUGGAAACGGUAGCUAAUACCGCAUAACGUCGCAAGACCAAAGAGGGGGACCUUCGGGCCUCUUGCCAUCGGAUGUGCCCAGAUGGGAUUAGCUAGUAGGUGGGGUAACGGCUCACCUAGGCGACGAUCCCUAGCUGGUCUGAGAGGAUGACCAGCCACACUGGAACUGAGACACGGUCCAGACUCCUACGGGAGGCAGCAGUGGGGAAUAUUGCACAAAGGGCGCAAGCCUGAUGCAGCCAUGCCGCGUGUAUGAAGAAGGCCUUCGGGUUGUAAAGUACUUUCAGCGGGGAGGAAGGGAGUAAAGUUAAUACCUUUGCUCAUUGACGUUACCCGCAGAAGAAGCACCGGCUAACUCCGUG
This 490-nucleotide ribosomal RNA is filed under the name uncultured bacterium. RNAcentral's name for it is "partial 16S ribosomal RNA". It matches the Rfam family "Bacterial small subunit ribosomal RNA", at positions 30 to 507 of the family's 1533-position model. The record is from RNAcentral.